UGAGUUUGAUGAUGAUGGUGGUGGUGGGUGGUGGUGGAUGAAGAAAAAGUGAGGCGGUGCGGUUUUAAAGAAAGAGGCAAGGAGAAUCAAGGAUGAAUUCUGCCGUGUGUGUUUUUCUCUCGGAGGUUCCCAUUUAAUCUUUGCUUUUCUUUUCUUUUUCUUUUUUUUUAUUUGGGGAAUAAAUUCGAACGAACCUAGUCCUAUUUGUCGAAAUUCUGGUAUAGGCUUAUAAAAUGCUUUAAUUCCAAUAAACUUCUUCUUUGGGAGGAAAAUCGGUUCCAGUUUUCCAAAAAUAUAUGAAAACCACUUUUGGGCAGAAGUUAGGUAUUGACAAGUUUUAACAAUUAAAUGAUUAUUCCUAAGCUAUUCAUACUUAUUUUGCGGUAACUCGAGAUUUCUUGCUCUAAUUAGGGCAUGUUUGAUAACGAUUCUGAUUCCGGAAAUAAUUUUUGAUCAGAAAUGGUUUUUUUUUUUUAAUUUCUGUUCCUAAGAACAAUUUCUAAAUACAAGAACGUGCUUGGUAAUUGCACAAAAUUUCCAUUCUUAGGAAAGAAAUGCGUUUGGUGGAAUUGUAUAAUUUUGUUGUUUCUUUUCAUUUUUUAAUAUUUUUAUUAUAUUUUUCCUUUUUUUUCUUCUUCUUUUUUUUUUUUUUUACAAUUCCUCCUUUGUGGCCGGUUGUCAGUGGCCGGCAACUAGCUAGGCAAGGUCCGGCGAGCUCGCCGAAGCCUUGCCAAACCAAGGCGAGGGCCGACGAGCUUGCCGGAGGCUCGCUUGGCCACUGUGAGGCUCGAUCUCACCUUGGCUGGCCGAGCUCAAGCUUGCCCAAAUCUUGUGAGGCUGAGCAUCGCCAUGGCUUGGUGUCGUUGGGGGCUAGCGAUGCUCCAGUGAGAUCGCUGGCCCUCAUUGGCCGGUUGCUGGCCAUGGCCAAGGUUGGCAACCGGCCAAAAGGAAGAAGAAGGAAAUGAAAGAGAAGAAGAGAAAAAAAAAAAUAUUCCCAAGAGCAAGAAGCUAUUUUUUUCUACUUCUUGUUUCUGUUCCAAAUCUAUUCUCGGGAACAAAAAUUUUACCAAACACGUUUCUAUUUUUUUCUGUUCCCUAGAACAAAAGAACAAAAAUAGUUGUUAUGGGGGAAUAGAAACAAUUUUUACCAAACAGGUCCUAAGUUGCUAGAAGAAAGAACCCACCUCGCUAAUAGUAGGCUGACUGACAGUUGACCUACAAAAGCAAGCCCAAAACCCACGAGAUGGCGAGAGAAGGAGAUGAGACGGUUUUGGCGAGACCAAGACAGAGAAGAGACACAACGGCAUCCACGGGAUAGAAAAAAGAGAAAAUUUGAGAGUGCCAUUGGAGAAAGACGAAUGACUAGAGAGACAAAGAGAGAGGGGCCAAAUCUGAGAGUGAGAACUAGAAAAGAAAGCAGAGCUUAAAUAGACAAGAUUUAGGAUUGGUUUUGACCCGGCUCAAAACCAGUUUUCCCCGAGAAUUACCUUUGCAAGGCCGGCUCAUGGGUGUUACAACCAGUUCAUAUUAUGAAACCAAGAAGUGAACCGAUGAAGGCCGAUUCAAAGAAGUUCUAUUUGGAACUAAACUGGCCCCCAUGUGAACGGCCUCAAAAUUAGUCGUGUUCCAUUCAUUUCCCAUAUUGAAUAGGUCCAGUUACUCACCUUUUAUAAAAUGUCAUAAAUGAAGUCUAACGGUAAACAUUGUAAAAUUAAUCAAUUGAUUAGCAGAAUGGGAAGGACCAUCACAAAGCAUAGAGUUCUUUUGAUCUAAAUAAAGUAGAUAUCCCCAUUCCAAGCAAAGCUCUAAUAGGAUUUCGAAAAAAAUAUUUAAAAAUAAGAGAUUUAACAUUUUAAGAUAAAAAGCCUUGUCACCUUUGAAGAUCAUGAGGUCAUUACCUCAAACCUUACCCCACAUCAACUAGUGUUUACGUGUUGAAUCGAAAAAUCAAAAUCGCGGUUAUUUAGUGGAAAAUUUUCAAGCCUUGGUAUGUUCAACAGUUUAUAGUGGAGUCAGAAAGAAAAUGUCCAUCACACAAUGCUGUAUGUCUCUUCUCAGCCUACUCAAAUCCAAUCUAUUUGGACCCCUUAGAGGUUCUAAUUGAGGAGCAGGCAGAAUCAUUCUCCUUGAACAAUGUCAGAAAAAAUGCUCUCAUCUGAUGUGGAUGCCUAACUAACCUUCUUAAUGGUGCAAAUUUUUUAUAUAAUUUGGCCAGGGCAGUUUGUGUUUGAAAUUCGAAGAGAGAAAAAGAAAAAAGAGAGGCGCUUUAAGGUUCUUUUGUGAAGAUGAUCCGUAUGAUUUUACUUGUUCAACUUUUUAUUGUUAGUUUAUGUCACUCACAUCCCGGCUGAAUCGUGGUCCCAACUCCUAACUUCAGCUUUUACAAAAUCCCCCGGAUGUGUAAAAGAGUACAUCCAAUUUAAUAAGUCAGCAAGUUGACAGUGACAAUAUUUUUGUAGAAAAAUUAUAUUAGAUUAAAUUAGAUGAUUAAUUUUUUUUCCAACUUUAUUGUAAAUUUAUAUGGACAAUUAAUGGAAUGGGAAGUGGGAGGGAAUUGAGUUUUGUGAUGACGUGGCCCAUCCAUUAAGUUCCAUUCUUCUUAACUUUCUAUUGUUUAUGUGUGUGGUUUCACCAACGAGACGUUACAAAAUAGAACGAAAAAAGGUAAUCACGAUGGCUCGAAUCAGCUAAAUUGUAUGUAAAUUACUUAUCAAUACUUACGUAUUAUAAAAGAUUCAUAUGUUUCAAGUCAAAAUAUGUAAAAAUGUGUCGGAGACAAGACUAGAAUAAAUAAAAUGUAAAACUCUAUCCAGACAAACUUUCAGGUAUUUUGUUGACAUAUAUGCAAGCGAAGAGCUUGAAAUCCGCUAGAGAUGGUGAAACAUAUCAUUGUCCAUCGAUUUUGGUGUGUUUUCUUCCCCCUUUUCCCCCUUUCCUUACUUUUCAGUUUUCCCUUUCCUGAAGGCGACCAGAAAACACAAAUUUUCCACACUUGCCCUUUCAUAUAAGCUGGACUUAAUCAUAAACUAAAGCAUGCAAAUAUAUAAUGGAGAAGCAAAUAAGGAAUUGAAAAAAAUUGAAGUCAAGAUCUCCUACUUUAAUAUCAUAUAAAAUUUAGUCUCACUAUUGUCAAAACUAAGCUUUCAAAAGUAGAUAUAGUGACGACCAUUUGAAAUUAAGUCCAAAUUUAUGAGUAUUGUCAUGAGCUUCUCUUGUUCAACAUGAGACUAAAGAUUAUGCAAAACAUUUGGCAAGAUGCUUGACCUCAAUUAGCUGUUGGAUCUCAUAACUUCCCUUCCACGUUAGUUGCAUGUCUAACAUUUCUAUGGGUAUCAAUUUAAUUAUAUGUCAUUCCAUUUCUUUCUAACCCUUCCUUGCUCCACUAGGAUUUCGGAAGGAAUUAUGUAACAUAUAAGUACAUAUGUGCCUAAUGAUUCUUCAUAAGAUUAGUAACUUUCUACAAGAAAUUCAACUUUAAUCCAUGACUACUUACUAACUUGAUUACAUUCGUAGUGUUUUGUAGAAAAGAUAACUUUUCUAUGCUGAUUCUUAUCUAUCAACAUAUAAUAAUAAAAAGAAAAGAUAAAUUUUGAACAUAACUGAUGAUAUCUGCUUAACUUUUCUAUGCUGAUUCUUAUCUAUAUUUUCAAAUUUAAGUUUAAGAAAAAAGAGCAAAAAUAAAUAACUGAUAAAAAAAAAUUGCAGGAAUGAGGCGAUGAUACUCUUUGUGACUUGCGGAGUUUCACUUCGAAUUUUUAUUUUAAUUCUUUUAAACAAAGAUUCGAUCUAAAAUUAAAAAUAUGCAAGAUAUACUUUUCCUAGAUUUUCCAAUUUAUAACAUUUGAUUUAUGAGAGGAAACAUGCAAAUAUGACAAUUAAUAAUAAUGUACUCUAAAUGGCCUAGAUGUGCAUGAUAAUGCUUGUCCAUGAAAAUUCUGAGUUUCUAAUAUAAUUGUCCUGAUACUAAUAUAAUGCAAUUCUAUUCAAUAUGUAAUGAAAAAUCAUAAAAUAGAGGUCCAAGUUUGGGCUCAAACAAGUAUGCGUGUAGAGGCAUCACCUUAUUAAAACAACUCAGCCAUAUCAACAAUCAAGCGGCAACUUUAAUCUGGCCAGCAAGUAUUUGACAUCAAAAUCCCUCGAUUUUGUUGUUAAACUUGCUGCAUCAGUUUGAGGGGAAAAGAAAGCAAGUAGAUGGAUAUCUCUUACCUAAUCCAAGUGGACUUCCUGGAGCAGAUUGGUGAACUGGAUUAGAUCGACAACAGCAAUCCAGGAAGCGCGAGAGCUAGGUUCAGACGAGUUGGAGGAGAACACUGUUGAGCAAGGGAACGAGCAUGGGUUAUGGUGAAGCAAAGUGAUAAUGAGCUAGUUGAGAGAGAAUAUUAUAAAGUCUAGGAAGGCCAAAACUUUCACUUACCAAAAACAUUAAACAAAGACCAAGACUUUGAAGGGCACACACCAAUAGUUAGAGGAAUAAAAAUAAAUUUAUUUUUUUUCCAUAGGUGCUUGUCUCCUCAUGUCUAGAGAUUAUCCCAAGAUAUCUUAAAUGAAGACCCAGACUUUUUGUUGCCCAUCUACCAGUCAUCAGAGACAGCUAAUUUUGUCUGAUCAAUAAGGAAAACAUAAGCACGUUCUUUGCACCUAAACAUCUACAAGUCAUGCACACUAACUAAUCCAUAAAGCAACUUGAUUUAUUUUUCUCUGAAAACAGUAAACAAGUUAAAAAAAGCCACCAACGAAUAUUUAUAACCUACUGAAAAUAACUCUUUAAGCAUGACAUUAAUGAACUGGAAAAUCGUGUUCAAUCCCUACGUGGGAAGGAAACUUUAAUGAAACCCAGGAAGUCCAAGACUUUGCAGGAUGCAAACUGGAUUUGUUGCUUGGCUUUUCCCAUCCCUCUUCUUCCAUCCCUAUGUGAAUGUUUUUUUUUUUCCAUUACCAGUAGAAUUUCCAAUCACAUGGAUUCUAAGUGAUUUUUUGUUUGAAUGAAAUAUUAUUUGACAAUUAGUAUUGAUUGUUGUUCUCUUGCUUAAAAUUUACCAUACUACAAUUAUUGUCGAACUUUCUUCAUUUUUAGUCACUCUGAUUUUCCCUUCCUUAAUCUCUAUUGUACCUGUCUUUAUAGUUAUGUCUACAUUUUCGUUUAUCUUUCCAAGCUAAAGUUUAAUAAAAGAAAGAAAAAGAAAAACCUGAAAACCCCCAAAAAAAAAAAAAUGCAAGAAUGGGGCGAGAGAGCGCGCCAUCAAUCCCAUUGUCACGGCCGCACCGUCGUGUUAGCACCACCGCCUGGGCAACUCAUCCAAUGCCGCCACUACUGUCACUGCUGGCGCUUCUAAGCGGAGCAACCAUCACAGGCAAUUGCCUCUGAUUACCUAAUAACUAACCUAAAUAGAUCUAGAGGCGAUUUCAUAAUGUAAAGGAUUAAUUCUAGGGUUAUCAGUUUCUCACGUGCAUCGUGAAAAAUUGGGUUGCACGUGGAGCUCACAUCAUUCAACAGUGAACGUGAAAUGGGCUCACAUACUCCAGGUUAACAUUUGUUACCUUUGUCCGUUGAAUAAGGAAAAGGUAACUUUGUAUGUUCGUGCCCAUUUGAGGAACCGAGGAACUUCUUGUAUUUCCAUAACAUACUCAAGUUAUUUGAUUGUAUUAUUUUCUCAAACGUACGCGAAUUAUUUAUACUGUAGCUAUCAUGUGAAAGCUUGCAUUGAUCACAUAUUCACCAAUAAAGCAUGAAAUAAAGAUAUUGGAACAAGGAUACUGACGAUAUAUGACUACUAAAAGAGCCAGAAAGCCAAUAGUAAUCAACAGAUUUUUGGAGAAAAUACACGUGCACUAUAAGUUGGUCAUAUGGAAAACAAUCACCUCUUAUUUUCUGUUUUGCAUGGCCACAAGAAAAGAUCCCCUAUUUCAAACACAGGCCAAAAGUCUUGAUCCAAAACAGAGGAGAAAAUGUGAUUUUUCUUUACAUGACCAAUUUAGAGUGCAUACGGAUUAUCGUUAAACAUUUAUUACAAGUGUCUCAUUGGCUUUUUUUUUUUUCAUCCAUACAUUCUCGAUGGCCGUAUGUGUUAAUGUCUUUGCUUUAAGCACUAUUGGUGGAUAGGCGAUCAAUAUAGGUCUUUACGUGGCAGUUGCGCGCUGAAAAUUUGCAGCAAUAUGAGCAGCAAUGAUCGGCUGAAGGGGGAUAAGCCAGUAGUGGACGAUAGGGAACCGCUUGAUAAGACAAUUUUGAUCCUUCACAUGAUUUUCCUGGUCAUUAGUGUGAUGCGUAGAGUAUAAUCUCUAGUAGAUUAUACCUUGUUAGUUGGCAAUACUUGACCCUUUUUUAUUUAGCAAUGAAUAAAGCAGACCAUUGUUUAAAGGACCAGCAAAUAAGCAUUUUGUGCAACUGGCGUAGACUACAAUAAGCAUCUUCGGUCAACUUGCAUGGACUAAAAUAAAUAUUUUUGAAAGAUAAAAUAUUAAGGAUCCACAAAACAAUGAAAUCUUACUCUUUAUUAUAAGUCUGCAAAUUACCAAAAACAGCUAAUUUUGUCUGUUCGAUGAGGAGAACGGAAACACAUGUUUUGGGCUAAACAAAAAGGGUUUGGCACACCAGCUAAUCCCUCAAGCAAUAUUUUAGUCCUAAAAUAAUGACAGCCAGCUAAUAUAUCAAGCAAGUUGCUUUAUUUUAGUCCUGAAAUGGUGAACAAGUCGUAAAUCAUCAACUAAUUCAUUAAGCAAGUUACUUUGGGCCAACUUUGUCUGUUCAAAGGACCACAAUUCUUUUAACAAGCAAUUCAUGAUUAUCAACUUCUUUAGCACCCUGCAACGGAUCAUUGCUGCCGAUCUUUCUGCAAUUUUUUUAGCUCUAUAGCUGACAUGUAAGAGCCUAUAACUACAAAAAUAAAUAAUAAUAAUAAUAAUAAUAAUAAUAAUAAUAAUAAUAAUAAUAAUAAUAAUAAUAAUAAUAAUAAUAAUAAUAAUAAUAAUAAUACUAAUAAUAAUAAAAUAACAGCACACUUAGAAGUUAUACUCUUACAAACGAUAGCCAAAAGUCUUGAUAUAGAGAAAAAGGACAAAAUUGAUUUAUCUAACUCAAGGACAUAAUGUGCAUCAAGGUCCUCUCUUCGGUCUAACUCAAACAGCUUGUCGUGAUAAUAUGCUCUAUUAAAAUACUUUUCAUCAGGAAGACCUAGACUUUGAUCGGAUAUCAUGUACAUUAUUAUUUAGAAAGUGAAGCAAAAAUCAGAAAGUGUUGAUCAAAAAGAAAUUUUAAUCAAUUCCAAGAAGAUCAAUAAUUUGGAGGACGCAAAUUGGCAUUAUUGCUUCACUUUUCACAUCCCUCCUCUUGCAUCCCUACGCGAAUGUCUCUUUUUCCAGUACAAAUAGCACUUUCAGGUAUUAUAUGUCUUUCUUAAAGUUAACAAUACUAUAAAUUAGCAUAAGAAGGAAGCCAUGAAAGAACCCGGAACGAUCUCUCUAUAUGUUGUAUUGGUCACUGUUGACACCUAAAUUUUGACGAUUUAGUUUAUUUAUUUAUUACAUAGGAAAUUAGGGGUUAAUUUUAUUAAUUGCAUAGCAUAUAGAUUUAUAUUUGCAUUUAUUUUGUUAUUUGCAUUUUAUCUAUUAGACCGGUGGCGGAUAUAUUCAAAUUAGAUGAAUCUUUUUUGGAUAGGGCAGAUGGAUAAAAAAUAUUGCGAUUUGUCUUUAAAAAAUUUGGAUUUAGAAAAAAUCUCAUCUUGAUCUUGAAUUCUUAUCAAUAUGAGAUGAAUUUUGUUAAAAAGAUUUGCAAGGUUGAUUCGAUGAAGAAUUUGAAAAUCCAAUUCCCUCCCCUAUAAAAGGCCGUGCGUGCGAGGGGUUUUGGGGGGUUCGUUUCUUGCUUUCGAGGGGCUUCUUUAAAAAAUUCAGAAAAAAAGUCAAGAGAGGAGCAAAAAAAGGAAAAAGCUUCUGCAGAAAGGGGGAGAAAAGAGAAGUACAGAGAGAAAGUGACGUGAGAGGAGACAGGAGGAGAGAGAAAGAAAUAAAAAAAGGGGAAGAAAGCACUGUUCUUCUUCUCCGGUGGGCUCGACUGCUGCCCGCGCUCGCUGCUCCUGCUCCGUUCGCCUCGCCCCACCUCCGCCGCACCUCCGAAGCCCGCAACCUGCAGGUCUCUCGCUCGCCAUCACCGAGCACCACCGACGCUGCUCCUGCUCCGUUCGCCUCUGCUCCCGCCGCCGCCGCCGCUUGAAGCCACCGCCGUGCUGCCUCUGGUCCAACGCCUAGCGUUCCCCUCUAUCCGGAGCAAGACCCAAACAGAUCUGUAACCACACAGACCCGAGUCCUCCGCCCGGGCGCCUUUGUUCCACGGGUCCUUGCUGCUCAAGCGCCGCUGCUGCUCCUUCGACGAGCCGCGCCUCCUGGCCCGAGCUGCUGCUUCGCCUACCAACCCAACGACCCACGAUCCACGCUCCAGCUCCGUCGCCCCUGCGAAACUGCUGCUGCCUUGCCGAUCCGCUCCACCGGCCAGACAAAGCCCUUCGCGCCUCAGCCAAUCUCUGUCCCCGAUCUGCCGUGCCGGAGCUGCUGCCCGACGCCGCUGCUCGCCCCCCUCGCCGGUGCCCGAACGUCGGCUGCUUCGCCCGAGCACCCCUGCAACGCUGCUGCCCCUCGCCGGACCUUCGCCGGAGCCGGUGGCCAGCCGCACGGACGUGAAGUUUGAAAGAAAAGAAGAAAAACAGAAAAAGAAAAAGAAAAUCUGAUUAGGUGGUUUUUCCUUCUCUUUUAUUUUACCUUUUUUUUUUAAUAUUCUGUUUUAGUGGAAUUGUUCCUUGAUAUAUUAUUGAUAUCCCAAUAUGAAAUAGUCUAUCAAGCACUAUCAAGCUAGGGAUUGACAGUCCGAUUUUCGCGCCCGAAAUCCGACUCGCAAUCCCUUAUAAAAAUCGACAAUCCAAUCUCAAGCCCGAGAUUUGAUUCGCGAUUUAAAAUUAAAAUUGGUCUACCCGAUCUCAUGCGCGAGAUAUGGUUCGCCAAUUUUUGGAUAUCAAUCUUAUCUUUUAUUUGAUUUGCUAUCGUCAAGUUUGGUUGAGUCAAAUCUUAUUUUCAUAAAAAUAAAAAAUCAAAAAAAUCUUAAUUAGGAUUAGGUUUGUUGUCAUCUUGCAUAUUUAGGAUUGCAAUCUUAUUAUGAAUUUUUUAAAUAAAAAAAUCAAAAAAAAGAAAGUACAAUCAUUUAGGUUGUUAGUUUUUUUAUUUGAAUUGCAUGUUAAUUAUGUGAAAACUUUAAUUUCGAAAUUAAUUAAAAAAAACCCAUAAAAAAUCAUUGUGCAUAUUAGAUUAGAAUUGCAUGCUUCAUUUUAAAUUUAGAUCAUCUUUUUUAAGAUAAAUGGCAUUUUAGAUUUAGAUAAUAUCUUAGUUUAAAUUAGGAUUUAAUAUGACUUAAUCCCUAGUUUAAAUUAGAUAGAAUCUUAAUUUAGCUAGAUCAUUUGAAAUUUCAUAAAAUUUGUCUUAGGAUAAAUUAGUUGCAAUUUCUAAGAUAGAUUGCAUUUUUUAAUAAAAAAUGUCAUAUGCAUAUGUCAUGUAGAAUUAGAGCAUUCUUUGCACGUCAUUGCAUGCUAAGAUUACAUAUUAUAGGUUUAGAUAAUUUCUCCUAAAUAGAUUGCAUGCUUAUUAGGAAAAUAAAAAUCAUGUGCACGUCAUAUAAAAUUAGUCUCAUACAAUGCACGUCAUUUAGUGAUUUUUGUUAAGUGCAUUUAAUUAGAAAUUGCCCGUCAUUAGAAUUAGGUCAUUAGAUUAAUUUAGAUUGCAUAUUUAAAUGUUGCAUUUCUUUAAUUUCAAAUCUCAUAGAAAAUAAAAAAAAUAUAUUUUGAAUAAAUCAUCUCAUGCUUAGGAUAGAUCACAUGCUUAAUUAUGUCAUAUUGCUUAAGUCAUAUAGCUAAGUCAUGUUGCCAUGUCAUAUCAUUUCAUGUUAAAUUAGUGGCAUGCAUUGCAUAUUGCAUGAUUUUCAUUAAUUAAGUGAAAACAAAAAUUAAGUAAUUGCUUGUUAAUUAGAAACCAUAUCUAGGAUUGUUGAUAUGGAUUUUAAUUUAACACUGCAGAUGCUUUCGUUGCUUUGAGGUAAGUUCUGCAUCAUUUAUUUGCUUUAUUGGAUGUUAAAUUGGUGGUUUGCGCACCCGCAUGGUCGCCUCACAUGUUAGGGAAUUAAAAUCAAUUCAAACUGCUUGCCAAACAUUUUUGAAAAUAAAAAGAAUGGUACCGAAAGGGCAUUAGAGAAAUCUAAUGUAAUCAAGUCCCCGUACCCAUAAUCUCUGGUUCGUAGAAGUAAAAUAAUUCUCUCAUUAUUUUACUUAGGUGUCUAAUCGACCUACCAAAAAUAGAUUAGUGGCGGCUCCUAAUUGAAAAUCAAUUGCAUGUUAUAAACUUGAACCUAAGUCGCGAAUUGGUAUGGGCUUGGGAGAGCCCGAGUUAAGUCUAGGCUUAACAAUCCAUUAGCCAAACCCUAGGUGGUUCGUAACCCAAAAAAAAUUUGGUCGCGACAGUCACUGAAGAAAACGACAAGGUAUAUGGUGAAGGUAGGUGAUAAUGAGCCUAUGGAGAGAGAAAACUAUAGAGUGCAAGAUGACCAAAACUUUUACCGACCAAAAAGAUUAAAAAGAGACCAAGACUUUCAAGGACGUACAUAAGAGGUUAGACAAAUCGAAGUAAAAUAUUUUCUCUCCACAAGUGCUUAUUUCAUGAAUUGUUCGCCUUUUUCUUCAUAUCAAGAUUUUUUUUUUGUUUUUUUUAAUAUGACCAAGUCCACGCAUGUUUUCUUUCCUAACCUGUGUUUUGUUGGCUUUUUGGCUUUGAAUGCAUCUGUAAAUUUCUAGCAUCCUAAUGAUUUCUACAUAUCGUUGAAUAUGCAAUCAACGUGGGCUUUUUCGUGGCCGUUACAGCCCUAAAAAGUCCCAAAUGUUUAAGAAAACAAUUACCUUGAGUAUAUUAUGGAUAAAUAAGAAGGUGCUCGAUUAGUCCUUUAAUGUGGACGAACAUGUAAAGUUCUUGCCGAAAGAUUAGCAAAUAUUUUAGCGGUGAAGGAAGCCAACCAUCAUAAUUGGGACUGGCAAAUGAGCAUCUUUGUACUGAUUGCACUAACUGAAUCUUCAGAUAAACAUUUUGAAAGAUACGCCAAGCAAUGGCAGCUUAGUUUUUGUUAUACAUCUACAAGUCAUCAUGGGCGGUUAACGUUGUGUGUUGGAUAAGGAAAAUAGAAAUAAUUGCUUAAGGAAAAGUAAACAUUAAAAUAACAUAAAUUUAGUUCUACAGAUCUUCACAUUUUGUCAAUUGAGUUUAUCUAGUCAAUUUUGGUCGGAAAUCGCUUAUGUGGAUAUCGGUUGUCCUACAUGACAUGACGGGUUUUGAUGUAGGUAAUUAAUAUAUUAAUAUUUUUUGAAAGUCUUUUUUAUUUUUUUUCCUUUUCUCUUCUUUUUUUUUUCGUUUUUUUUCCCUUUCAUUGACCAUCAAUGAGGCGAUGGCCGGCUAAUGGAAAAAGGGAAAAAGAAAAAAAAAGAAAAAAAAAGGUAAAAGAGAAGAAAAUAAAAAAAAUAAAGAAGGAAAAUAUAAGAGAAGAAAAAAGGAAAAAGAAAACAAAUGAAUAAAAAAGGGAAAAUUCCAAACAAUGGCCUAAAGUGCUAACAGUUUCUCAAAUAAGAGUUUAAAAUGGAUUUUGUGUCAAAUAAAAACCUGAAGUGACCAUAAUUGUUUCAAAUAUGGGCUUGAAAUAGCCAUGAUUAUUUUAAAUAAGGGUCUGACCAUGUCAAUUGCUAGCCAGCUUUGUAUUUUGACCGAUUAAAGGGCGCAUUCAUCUAAAAAUUUUACUUUAAAUUAUUCUUAUUCUCUUAUUUUUCUUUUUCUUUUUUCUUUUUAUAUUUUCAAACAAGGGCCGCACGACCGCUAACGAGGGUCAGCGAGGGUUACAUGGCCCUUAGCGACAGCUUGUAAGGGCUGGUGAGGGCUUGACGAGCCUUGUCGACCUCACUUGAGGCAAGGGUCGCCUCACCUAGGCAAGGCCAUCCCUCAUUGGCCACUAGUGAGGGCUGACCUUGUCAACAGUUGCCCUUGCCUAUGGUCGGUGAGGGUGGCCCUCAUCUAGCUCUCUCCAAGCAUUGCUAGUGCCUGGCCGGCCACCAACGAAGAAGAAAGAAAAACUAGAAAAAGGAAAAAAAAAUAAGGAAAAAAUUCAAAAAAUAUAGAUGAUGAAAAUGCCUUUAAGUAACUAAACAGUGAAGCUCUUAUUUGAAAUAGAUAUAGCCAUUUCAUGCCCUUAUUUGAGAAAACGAUGGCGCUUCAAGUCUUUGUUUGAAACAAAGUUCACUUCAGACUCUUAUUUGAGAAAAUGAAGGUAUUUCAGGCCCUUAUUUAGAAUUUUCCCAAAAAUAUAUUAAAUAAUAUUAAAAUUGAUUGCGUCAAUGCUAAUUGUCUUGCCACAUAAGACAGCUGGUGUCAAUAUCUAUGAUUUCAGAUUAAAAUUGGGAAGAUGGAUUUAAUUAACAAAAUGUGAAAAGAUUAAUGAUUCAAUUGACACAAUUUUGACAAAAAAGAAUUGACUUAAUCAAAAAAAUUAUAAUUGAAUUGGGAAAAAGUACAAUAAAUUUAGGAAUUUGAAUAAUUUUCCCCCACCAACUAAUCCAUUGAGCAACUUGCUUUGCAAUACUGAAUGAGUUAAAAAUCACCAACUAAUACCAUAUAAUAUAUAGAAAGUUACACUACACAUCACACACAUAUAAUAUACCUGCCACACCAAACGACCAUAGAUUAAACAAAGCAAACAAAAUAAAAUACUUUCUGUGCACAACUGUUUGUUAUGUAAUAUUCGGAGAAUAUCCCCCAAAGACUUUAUUGGAUAUCCUGUGCUAUCUUGUCUGGAAAUUUCUACGCCUAACAUGUGAAGCAAAAGUGAAGCACUUAAAGAAAGACUAACAAUUGGCUCAAAAAAAAAAAGAAAAAAAGAAAGAAAGAAAGACUACCAAUUGAAAAGAAACUUUAAUCAAUUCCACAAAGAUCAAGAGAUUGCAUGAUGCUGCUUUACUUUUCGCAUCCCUUCUUUACCAUUCCUAUGUGAAUGUCUCUUUUUCCAAUACUAGCAGAAUUUUCACGUAUUACAUAUAAUUAACAAUACUAUUUCCAUGAGACUCUUUCCGUGUUUAAUCACGUUGGGGUUUUUUAUUCAUUACUCUCUAUUGUGCAUGUCUAUUGAAAUUAUGUCUAGGUUUCCAUAAGUUCGAUAAAAUAAAAAUGGCAUAAAGAGAAACGAAGAAGACAAAACAGCAAAAACUUUGAAAAAAAAUAUUAGGAAUGGGGCGACCGAGAGAGCGCCACCGAUCCCACGGCCAUUGCCACGCUGUGGUCAUCAACACCACCGCCAGGACAACUUAUUCCAACACCGUUGCUGCUGGCACUACUAGCUGGACUAAUCAUCUCACAUUUAAUUUAAUUACCCAAUUACUAACCUGACUCCAUCUAUAGGGAAAUUUUCAUUGUAAAUAAUGAAUUUUAGGUUCAUGAUUUUUCCGCUGCACUUUGAAAAGUUAGCUUUCACAAGGAGCCCACACCAUCCGAUGGUCGAUUUGAGCCGAGCUCAAAUGCUCAGGGUUCAUUCAUUAGUUUCCCCUCAUCCCGCGUCUAAGACUUUACAGGCCGCCACCAUGAAAAAAAAAAAUGGGUUUAGGCCCAAGAGACCCAAUUGGGCCAAUUCUCAUUUUAUCCCAUGAAGCUCCAUCUUAGAAGCCCAACGGACUAACUUCCUCCAGCUUAUUUAUAAAUGUUGGAGCUAGCUUAACAGGAGAAAGUAGAAUAGUUAUGAGAGAGAGAAGAAUCCAGAAAACUGGAAAAGAGAAGUAAACCCCGCGCGCGCGCGCGAGUGAGAGAGGGUUUAGGUAAUCUUUUUUGGGCUUUCUCUAUGUAGCUAAGCCUCAUUUUCAGUUUUGUAAAGGAUAUGGGAACCCAAUGAACCACUCUCAGUUGAUGGUAAUAACUAGAUUCACCUGAUAUAACAAAACUUGUAGUACCUUCCUAUAGUCCUGAAAAUUCCCAUGGAUAGGUGCCACCUUGCCUUGUGGAAUCAGCCAGACCUCAUCUGAGGUUCCAGCUAUUAGAUGCUUAUUGUGAAUAAGCUGCAAAUCAAGGUGAAAGAAGGGCUAUUAGUUGUGAAAAUGAUCCAUGGUUGGUCAAAUUGAAGUAUUUUGACCACAAAAUCAAUCUCACCAUCUCAAUUGCUCCUUAGAACAAGACCAGACCUUGAAUGAGCACCUCAGCCACAUCCAAAUCCUCCAGUUGUGGAUAGGCAAAACAGCAGAGUCGCACUCAAUCAUCCUUGGACAAGAAACUAACAAUUUACAAAGAUAAUUCUUCAGUAGUCACUACUCAUUAAAGCAGAGCUUAAAGACCACAUUUAUAAACAAAGCCCAAUACUACCUACAGGCACAGAUAUCAGAACUCUUUGGUAUUACAGAUUACUCCAAUACGAAAAAACUGAUCAGGCUAACUAUUCUAGUCCAAAUAUUUUCCAAGUUGAAAUGAUUAGAUUGGUUUCUGUUCCAUUAUAAGUUAGAUAUAUGAUGACAGAAUAGACGCUCUCUAUAGUUGUUAUCACUAAUUGAUUCUCUUGUAUUUUCAAUGUAACAUUAGAUUCCAAUAAGUUCAAUUAGUGCAAGAACAACAACAGGCUAAAUGAAAAGUAUUUGGAGUCAUAAGGUGGACAACAAGAGCAGACUUACCAGAUGAUUGGAUGGCUCAUCAAGCAAAACUAUGUGAGGCUUUUUCAAAGUUAUCUUGGCAAAUGCAACUUUGCCUUUCUGUGCACCUAUUUAUAUGGUCAAAGCACCAUGUUACAUAUGCAAUAACAUCCAAAAAGCCUCAGAGUAGUACACAGUGAACUACUUGCAAAUUGACUAACCUCUAUUAGGGCUUCACAAUGUCAUAAAACAAUUGCUUCAAAAAUAAUUUACAUAUGCAACUGUAGCGGAGAGGGAGGCAAUGUAUCAUAAAGGUAUACAUUGGUUGAAGUGCAAGAUGUCCAAUUACACCAAAGGAACGCAAGUGAGCUCGAAGCUUUUCAAUUGAAAAUCCCUGCAAGAAGAAUGCUACAUAAGAAGGCAUUUGCAGAUAAAACGACAUGAUGUAUAACAAAAUCAUAUUCCGCAAUGGAGUAAAUGCAAACAACCAAUACUUUAAAGACCUGAACAGAUUUGCCCCAGAGGUCACUACUAAUAAUGCAAACACAAAGGCAGGCAACAUAUCGUUACAAUCUCAACCAAAUAAGCACGAGUAUAUAGGCUAAAAAUUUCUAGCAAGCUGUAAACACAAACAGAAUGGUGAUCUAUGGAAUAUCAAUACUAUCAUGAUGGAGUUGUAUUAAAAGCUUGGAGCAAUAAGCUGCCCCAGAAAUGUGUCCCAAAUAGAUUGCUUAAUACUACAAAGGAUCAUCAUCAAUAAAAAUAAAAAAAUAAAAAAGGGUUCUCGAUUCUAAAGAAAACCAUUGAAAAAAAAAACAAUGAAUGAGCUAGGACACAAGAAAAAGAUGGUGGGAAGAGAACAUACAAGAAACGCUGAAAAUGCAAAGACAUAUGAUUGUGGAACGCUAUAAUUCUUCGUGAUAGUGCAUCUUUCUUCACAGUUUUUUUAAGCAUCAAGUAGAGUUGAAGAUAUUCCAUCAAUAUAGCAAGAGGCAGCACUGAGUGAAUUUCGACCUAAAGUUUAUUGUCCAACGAAACAGAACUGAUCCAACCCAACAAGAAAUCCCACUCAAAUGUCAGUCUUUGACUUUCAGUGGUAGAGCUUGCCUACAUCCUAAGAAUGGGUUUUGUUGGCCAUGAUAAUAUUUUCAUAAUUAAUUCUCCAAAAUAGUGCCGAAUAGUGAAAAUGGGGAAAUAUAUUGAUAUAGCUUUCUCACAAAAUAGAUUUGUCUUACAAAAUAAUUUACUGUGCUAAAAUAUUCUUUUGCAAAUGAUUAAAUCAUUUUAGUGUGCAUGAGAAAACUGACUUCGGUGGCAAUAGAGUAUCAAACUUCCAGGGGCACAACAAAUGUACCUAUUGCUAUAACAAAAUGUGCAAAGAAUCAUAAAUUAUACCAAGAUUACAAUCACAACUCAGUUCUUAAGCUAUUGCAAAUGAUACUGUAUGCUGUCAAAAACUUAGACUCAUCGUUCCACAAGCCCUUGUCAAGUAUAAAUGACAAAUGAGGGCUGGUGUAACUGUGAGUCUGUCCUGUAUAUCAGUAGCAAUCCUCUCUUCAUCCUUUUUUGCUUUCUCUAUGUAGCUAAGCCUCAUUUUUUGUUUUGUGAGGUAAUGUGAACCCACUAAACCACUCUUAGUCGAUGGCAAUAACUAGAUUCACCUGAUUCAAUAAAAAUAGGAGUACAUUCCUAUAGUCCUAGAAAUUCCCAUGGAGAGGUGCCACCUUGCCUUGUGAAACCACCCAGACCUCAUCCAAGAUUCUAGCUAUUAGAUGCUCAUCAUGACCAACCUGCAAAUCAAGGUGAAAAGAGGGCUAUUAGCUGUGAAAUGAUCCAUCAUUGGUCAAAUUGAAGUAUUUUGACAAGGAAAUCAAUCUCACCAUCAGAAUUAAUCCUUGGAACAAGACCAGACCUUGAAUGAGUGCAGAAUUAAUCCUUGGAAUCNNNNNNNNNNNNNNNNNNNNNNNNNNNNNNNNNNNNNNNNNNNNNNNNNNNNNNNNNNNNNNNNNNNNNNNNNNNNNNNNNNNNNNNNNNNNNNNNNNNNGAAUUGGAAAAAAAAAAAAACAAAACACUAUCAUUAGACAGAACUACAAUUACCAAGAUAAUUCUUUAGUCACUGGUCAUUAAAGCAAACUUAAAGACCAGAUUUACAAACAAAAAGGGGUCCAGAUAUUUGUAUGUAAAGCCCAAUACUGCCUAUAGGCAUAAAGAUCAGUACCAUUUGGUAUUGUAGAUUGCUCUAUUCUGAAUAUUUUCCACAUUGGAACAAUUAGAUUGGUGUCUGUUCCAUUAUUUGCUAGAUGUAUGAUGACGAGGGCUACCAGCAGCUAUGACCACCAUUUGGUUCUACUAUAUUUUUAAUGUAAAACCCAGAUUCCGACAAGUUCAAUUAGUGCAAGAACAAUAACAAGCUAACUGAAAAAGUAAUCAAAGUCAUAAAAUGGAGAAAUAUGAGUAGAACUUACCAAAUGAUAGGAUGGGUCGUCAAGCAAAACUAUGUGAGGUUGCUUGAAAGUUAUCUUGGCAAAUGCAACUUUGCUUUUCUAACCACCUAUUUAUGUGGUCAAAGCACCAUGUUAUAUGUGCAAUAACAUCCAAAAAGCCUUGGAGAAAGUACACAGUGAACCACAAUUCAGAUUACAAAUUAUCUAACUUUUAACAGAGCUUCACAAUGUCAUAAGAACAUUGCUUCAACAAAAAAUUUAUACAUGCAACACUAGCACAGAGAGAGGAGAUAUACCAGGCAAGAUACAAAUUGGUUGAAUCACAAGAUUUCCAGUUACUCCAAAGGAACCCAUGUCAGCUCAAACAUUUUGUUAUGGAACUCCUUUUGGGAAGAAUGCCACAUGGUCACCGCUGAUGAUGGAAACCCGAAGGUAGGCAGCCUAUCAUAACAAUCUCAACCAAACAAGCAUAAGUAUAUUUGCUAAAAAUUUCUAGCAAGCUGUGAGCAACAGUUCCUAAACCACCAGAAUUCGAGACCCAACCAGAAAGCGAUUUAUGGAAUAUCAAUGCUGUCACGUGAAAGCUUGGAGCCAUGAGCUGCCUCGGAAUUUUAUCCCAGAUUGACUGCUUAAUACUACAAAGAAUCAUCAUAAAAAAGGAAGAAGAAGGUUCCUAUUCUUAAGAAAUCCAUAAAAUGAAAAAACCGCAUCCAUUUUCUUCACAAUCACAUCAUAGCUUCCACAAAACUAAUCAUCCUUUUAGAUUUUGAAAAAGAUCUGUUCUUAUUUAGAUCAUAUUCACCAGAAGGAAAAUUCAGAACGUAGCAGUGCAACAAAUAUAUUUAAUUGCUUCUUCCUUUAUUGAUAAAUUGCAAAAGAGAAAAAAAAAAACGAAGCAAGACAAUGACACCAACAGCAUUAGCCCUACCUUAGCAGCGUUCGCACGUGAUCCUUCCAAGAGAUUCUGCCAAUGCAAGAUCACAAUGGUAUCUGCAAAACAAGCAGAGUGAAUGAGCUUAAGGGCCCAAGAAAAAAUAUGUUGGGAAGAGAACAGACAAUAGACGCAGAAAAUGCAGAGGACUAUGAUUGUGGAAUGCUACGAUUCUUCGUGAUGGUGCGAUUUCAUUCACAAAUGGUUUGGGCAUCGAGCAGAAAUGAGGAUAUGUCGUCAACAUAGCAAGAGGCAGCACUGCGAGCGUUUCAUCCUACAGUUCAUCGUCCAACGAAACAGAGCCAAUCCAACCCAACGCAAUCCCCCACCCAAACAUCAGUUCGUAUUGAGCAUCGAAUUGAGAAAGUAGAAUGGAAAAGGAUGCCUUCAAAACCAAAAAUAACUUACUCGGACCCUAAGAAAACUCACUGUAGUGUAGAUGCACGAAUCAAUUCACCGGAUGUGAACGUGAGGGAUCUCUUCGAUGAGGGGCCAAUAGUCGCCAGUGAGUUUUGCGCAUCGCUCUUUCAGAAUCUCGCAUCUAGGUAAGUACAAUCGUUGGAGGGAGGGAGGGAAGCCAUCCUCUGGCAAGUACCUCAACUUGGGGCAAUCUGUAAUAAAAAACAAUCGAAGAGAGGAGAGAUGGUUGCAGAGACCGCUCGAUAGUCUUUCUGUGUUUCUCAAACCAUAUAUGAGAAGAGAGGUUAGAGAGGAAGGAAAGAGACUCCAAGCAUCCUUAUCCUCCGAAGGAAACCACUCCUUCUCUCUCUCCCCUUCCAUGUUAAAAUCAAUGGUCAGACUCUCGAGAGAUGUGAACAGGUGUAAGCCCCACUCUCUCACUGGCUGCUUCAGAGCCACGGGCACCAUAAUUCCAAGGUCUCGCAAUUUGGGAGGCAGACCUCCUUUGGGGAAGAAUUUGAUAUUUUGGCAAUAGAAAAUUCUUAGCUCUUGGAGGGAGGUAAGAUGAUGCCACUUAUUUGGCAGGGACUUUAUCAUCGGACAAUCCCAAAGUUCAAGACUCUGCAAGGUGAUGGGAAGGGGUGGGAAGUCCUCUAUCUCCAAUACCAGACACUGCCAUAUUUUCAAUUUAGUGAGAUUGUUACACUUGGCAAUGUUACAGUUGGCAAUAGACUUUAUCUUAGAACAAUGAUUAAGAGCAAGACUCGAGAGGGUUACGGGAAGGGGAGGGAAGUCCUCUAUCUCCAAUGCUGGACAAUUAUCAAUAUCCAAUCGAGUGAGAUGGGAGAGCGUGUGAAGGCACUGUGGUAAGCUUCCCAAAUUUUGACAAUUGUUAAUUGUCAUUGUUUCAAGCGAUUCUACGGCAAUCCCUUCCAAUGACUCCACUCCCUCACAAUUGUCUAUAUGAAGUGCCUUCAGAGGAGCAAGUCUACCCUUGGCAAAUGAAAAGGAUAUCGGAGAAUCACAGCAACAUAUCUUAAGAGAUUCAAGUUGAGAAAUCGAAUUAUUGCUACUCGAGUCACCUUGAGGAAUGUUUAGAGCCAUGAUUUUUGGACAAUUUUCAAUCACCAAAUGUUUGAGUGCGUGCAUCUUGCUUGGAAGAUUUUCUAAACUUGUGCAAUCAACCAAUUCCAUCAUUUCAAGAUUACAGGGUAGCUCUAUCUCUCCGUCUCCUGCCACAAAAGAUAUGAAUUGAGGACAAUUCUUUAUUACUAAUUCCUGGAGGCAAGUGAGAUUUUGUGUUUCAUCUCCAUCUUGCCACAAGCAUGUUAGCUUGUCACACAGUCCUAUAUGAAGCUUCCUUAGCUUGCCCAAGCAACUCAUAAACCGAUGAUCAAAGGAAACAAGCUCUAUGAGUUUGUUAAUUUUGAGAACUGUCAAAGAAGUUAGCUUGAACAAGCUCUUUAAGAUCUCCUUACUACAAUCCUCAAGGUAUAACUCAUCGAGAGAUGGAAGACAUAACUCACUGGUUGAGUUAUUCAAUUGUUGGCAUGAAUGAAUUUCAAGCUUUAUAAGAUGAUCAAGUUGACAAGGUAAUGUCUCGACCAGCGAAGGACAGNNNNNNNNNNNNNNNNNNNNNNNNNNNNNNNNNNNNNNNNNNNNNNNNNNNNNNNNNNNNNNNNNNNNNNNNNNNNNNNNNNNNNNNNNNNNNNNNNNNNNNNNNNNNNNNNNNNNNNNNNNNNNNNNNNNNNNNNNNNNNNNNNNNNNNNNNNNNNNNNNNNNNNNNNNNNNNNNNNNNNNNNNNNNNNNNNNNNNNNNNNNNNNNNNNNNNNNNNNNNNNNNNNNNNNNNNNNNNNNNNNNNNNNNNNNNNNNNNNNNNNNNNNNNNNNNNNNNNNNNNNNNNNNNNNNNNNNNNNNNNNNNNNNNNNNNNNNNNNNNNNNNNNNNNNNNNNNNNNNNNNNNNNNNNNNNNNNNNNNNNNNNNNNNNNNNNNNNNNNNNNNNNNNNNNNNNNNNNNNNNNNNNNNNNNNNNNNNNNNNNNNNNNNNNNNNNNNNNNNNNNNNNNNNNNNNNNNNNNNNNNNNNNNNNNNNNNNNNNNNNNNNNNNNNNNNNNNNNNNNNNNNNNNNNNNNNNNNNNNNNNNNNNNNNNNNNNNNNNNNNNNNNNNNNNNNNNNNNNNNNNNNNNNNNNNNNNNNNNNNNNNNNNNNNNNNNNNNNNNNNNNNNNNNNNNNNNNNNNNNNNNNNNNNNNNNNNNNNNNNNNNNNNNNNNNNNNNNNNNNNNNNNNNNNNNNNNNNNNNNNNNNNNNNNNNNNNNNNNNNNNNNNNNNNNNNNNNNNNNNNNNNNNNNNNNNNNNNNNNNNNNNNNNNNNNNNNNNNNNNNNNNNNNNNNNNNNNNNNNNNNNNNNNNNNNNNNNNNNNNNNNNNNNNNNNNNNNNNNNNNNNNNNNNNNNNNNNNNNNNNNNNNNNNNNNNNNNNNNNNNNNNNNNNNNNNNNNNNNNNNNNNAAACUUCAGUUUGUCAGCAACUCAUGCAGCACCUUGUCGGAUAUAAGGAGAGAGUUCCCACUAGAUCCAAUACGCACCAAAAUUAAACUUCUUAAUACCUUCAUAUCAUGAUAUGCCCUCAAGCAUUUUGAUGUAACAAACAGCGACCAAAUGAAUGAUGCAUACCGAGCUCUCUCCAGAGAUGCAUAGUCUUCAUUAAUUGCCGGUUGAGACUCCCCAGAGCUAAAGCAUAUCCCACCCUCAAUUGACUUUGCUAGAUCAUUCAAAAGAUCAUGCAUUGAAAAUUUAGAUGUGUCAACACUUGAUUUUUGAAGAAAUGAUCUUGAUACUAAUUCAUCGAAGUAAUUCCAUCCUAAUUCCAACUUAUUUUUCUUUGUUUUUUGUCCAUCUAAAAAUCCCUCCGCUAUCCAUAAGAGUACUAGCUCAUCCCUCUCAAUUUCGUAAUCCUUAGGAAAUACUGCACAAUAAGAAAAGCAUCUCUUCAAAUAGGAAGGAAGAUGGACGUAGCUCAAUUUCAAAAUAGGGAGAACCUCAUCAUUCUUUGUCGUUGGAAGAUCCCAUAUUAUGUUAUUUAAGGUAUCUUCCCAUUCACUGGGAUUCAUUUUAUGACGUAGGACACCGCUAAACAUCUUCGCUGCCAAAGGUAAACCUUUACAUCUUUUAGCUAUUUUCUUGCCUAUUGUUUCAAAUUCCGGGUGGCUCUUAAAAUUUGUUGCUUCAAGAGCAUGAAAGGCCAAUAAGCUUGUACAAUCAUUGAGGGACAAUUCCUUCAAGGAAUUGGCGGUGCUUUUGUUACUGAAACAACAGCAUGGUUGCGAGUCGUAAUAAUAAUCUUGCUUUCCCUAACACCCACUACAAAUGGCUUCCAGAGAUCAGUCCAUUUUUCGUACUUCUCAUUCCAAAUAUCCGUCUAGAACCCCAAAAAACUUCUUUUCGAAAAGAUUGUCCCUCAACUUAACUUGAAAACUCGUUUAAAAUCUUUGCCCUCACAGGGCAACCAAUUGAUUGACCGUAAAAUAAUCUUUGUUAUGUCGAGAANNNNNNNNNNNNNNNNNNNNNNNNNNNNNNNNNNNNNNNNNNNNNNNNNNNNNNNNNNNNNNNNNNNNNNNNNNNNNNNNNNNNNNNNNNNNNNNNNNNNUUUCCAAUACCGCCCAUCCCAACUAUGGGGACUAUGCUUAACGUGGCAUUAGAAUUUUUGACCUCAUUGAUCAAUAGUUCGAGUAUUUGUUCUACAUCCUCCUCCCUACCAAAAAAUUGAGGCUCUGAUAGAGAAGUGGUUAUCCUUUUACUGGUGUAGUUGGAUUUGUCCACAACAUUCUCUCUCAAGUUUAAACGAACCUUUCCAGUGACAAUCUCUUCCAACCGGUCAUUGAUCUCUUGUACCUUGGUUUCAGACAUGAGCGAGGGUGGUCGGCCAAAUACAGAGAACUUCCAUUUCCCCAAACCUUUGCUUGUGCUGGAUUCUGCCUCUGACUCAACUUGGGCAGCUUUGAUCUCAAACUCAUCGAGCAAGUCUUCCAUGUCAUAGGCCAAGUCCUUAACCUUGUCCAGCCACAGCUUCACUUGAUGGUUACCACUAAGUUCCUUGUCCUCCGCAUCAGCCAACACUGCAUUGAUUAUGACUAGCUUCUCCUUCCACACCUUAGGCAAGGUAGUGCUGAUUCCUUUAUGUUGUGCAUAACUUAAUGCGGAAGAAGCCAACUUGUCGAACAGGACCUGAAAGGAUGAAGCCAAAAAGGAACCCAACACGAUCCCUCCAAUGUCCAUAGGUGAAUCAGUCACUGUAAUGAACAAGAAAGGUGUUAUGGUGAAGCAAAGUGAAAAUGAACUAAUGGAGAGAGAAAACUAUGAAGUCCUAGGAACACUAAGAUGAUGACCUACGAAAAAGAUUUUAAAAAAAAAGACCAAGACUUUCAAGGGAUGCACAUCAAAGGUUAGACAAAUCAAAAUAAAUACUAUUUGUCCACAAGUGCUAGUUACAUCAAUUACUCUCUUUAUUCUUCGGAUCAAGACUUUUUGGCUAUUGGAUCUUUACUUUUGGCCAUCCAAAACAGUCUUAAUAUGACCAACUUAGAGCCAACUUAGAGUGUAUGCAUAUUUUCGCCAUAAGUGUUAUCACUCACGAGUGUUUUGUUGGCUUUUUUAGCGUUUGUAUAUUCUUAGUAACCUCAUGAUUUCAAUGUCAUUGUUUUCUGCUUUAUUGGUGAAUAUGAGAUUAAUGAAGUCUUUUACAUGGGAGUUUCUAUGUGAAAGAUUCAUAGCAAGAUGGGUGAUAAUGAUUUGUUGAAGUGUGUUGAGGUAGUGGUUGAUAAUUAGGAAUCACCUUGAUAGGAGAAUCGCGAUCCUUUGAACACGAUUAUCAAGUUCAUUAGUGUAAUGGGUAGAGUGUGACAUCCAGUGGAUUAUAUGUUGUUAAUACUGGACUCAUUUACCAUUUACAGAGAAAGCAACUUGCUUGAUGGAUUAGUUGGUGUGCUUAUCCCUUUUUUUCUUAUUUAGCGAUGUAUAAAGUUGACCAAGUUAAUAGGAUCAGCAAAUAAGCAUAUUUGUGCAACUUAGUAAAAUAAAUGCUUUUGAAACAUAACAUACUGAGGAUUCGCCCAAUAAUGGCAUCUUAGUUUCUGUUACACAUAUACAUGUUAUCAAAGACAAUUAACUUUGUCUAUCCACUAAGGAGAAUAGAAACACGUGCUUUAGGCUAAAUAAGGAAAAGGGUCAAGCACACCGACUAAUUCAUUAAGCAACUUGCUUUAUUUUACUCUGCAAAUAAUGAAUAGUCAGAAAUCACCAAAUGACAAUGUAUAAUCUACUGAAAAUUAUACUCUUCCAAUCACACCAAUGAACAAGAAAAUCGAGUUCAAAGGACCAUGAUUCUCGUUUCAAGCGAUUCCCCAUCAUCAACUACUAACCCAUCACCUUUCAGCAGAUAUUGCCGCCCAUCUUGCUGCAACUUUUUCUUCUUUUUCUUUUCUUCACAAGUGCUUGUUCUGUAAUAUUUAGAGAUUAUCCCCAUACAUAUGUAGUAUCCACGAUCAUAUACUUGUUCAUAUAAAAAAAUCAUAAACUCGGGAAGACCAAAAUUUCACUGGGUAUCAUGAUCUUUUUUGUCAUGAAAGUGAAGUAUAACUGAUAAAGAGCUUAUGGGAAAGAAAAUUUAAUAAAAUCGAAGAAGACUAAGACUUACGGUGAUGCAAAUUGGAUUUGUUGCUUCACUUUUCAAAUUCCUCGUCGUCCGUUCCCAUGUGAAUGUCUUUUUUACAUUACUAGUAGUUUUCCACGAGUUACACGGAUGCCAAUUUUUAUUUUUAUUUGUUUAUGUGUGUGAUUGACAAUUGGCAGUGAUUAUUGUUCUCUUGCUCAAAUUGACAAAACUAUAAUUUUAGUCCAACUUUUGUCAUUUUUAAUCAUAUUGUGAUUAAUCAUUCAUUAAUCUCUGUUGUACUUGUCUAUUGGAAUUAUGUCUAGAUUUCCAUUUAUCUUUUCAAAUAUAAGUCUAAUAAAUGGAAAAAAAAAGCAAGAAGAAAAACUAAAUAAGAAAAACAGCCAAAAACUGAUGAAGAAAAAAAAAUGCAGGAAUGGGGCGAUAAUACUCUUCGUGACUCGCGGAGAGUUCCAUUUCACAUUUUUGUUUUGUUUUGUUUUUUAUGAAGAUGCAAUCUAAAUUUAUUAAUAUGCAAGAUAUGAUUUUCCCAAAUUUCCCAAGUUAUUAUAGCAUGUGAUUUAUCAAAGGAAAUGUGCAAAAAAGAGAAUUAACAAUAAUGCACUCCAAAAAGCCUAGAUGCGCAUGAUAAUGCUUUUCCAUGAAAAUUCUAAGUUUUCUGAUAUAAUUGUCCUGAUAUGGAUAUAAUGCAAUUCUAUGCUAAUAUGUAAUGAAAAAUCAAAAAAUAAAGGUCUGAGUUUUGGCUCAAACAAUUAUGUGUGCAGAUGUAUCACCUGAUUAAAACAAAAUUAACAAAUCACCAUGAAUUAUGCAAUCAAGCUGCAACUUUAACCUGGCCAGCAAGUAUAUGGCAUCAACUUUCCCCAAUUUUGCUAUUAAACUUGCUGCAUCAGUUCAAGGGAAAAAGAGAGCAAGUAGAAAGAUGUCUUUUACCUAUUCCAAGUAGACUUCCUGGAGCUGACCAGGCGAAUGGGAUAAGAUCCACAACAGCAAUCCAGCAAGCACGAGCGCUAGGUUUGGCAGUUCACUGUACGCGUGCGUAUUCAGCUACGGCAAUGCGUGGUCGCCGCUUGCAACGACGAACGAUGGUAUUGACUGAGCGACGACUAGAGAUGGUGGUGAUUGGCGACAAUCGAUGUGCAUGCAAGAAAUGAAUUGAACGAGAGUGGAGUCUGUGGGCGUGAGUUUGAUGAUGAUGGUGGUGGUGGUGGUGGAUGAAGAAAAAGUGAGGCGGUGUGGUUUCAAAGAAAGGAGCAGGAGAACCAAGAUGAAUU
This 25373-nucleotide long non-coding RNA is filed under the name Eucalyptus grandis. Its description in RNAcentral is "long non-coding RNA (EGRA_LNC000592)". The record is from RNAcentral. Lineage: Eukaryota; Viridiplantae; Streptophyta; Magnoliopsida; Myrtales; Myrtaceae.